This 497-nucleotide ribosomal RNA is filed under the name uncultured bacterium. RNAcentral's name for it is "partial 16S ribosomal RNA". It matches the Rfam family "Bacterial small subunit ribosomal RNA", at positions 28 to 507 of the family's 1533-position model. The record is from RNAcentral.
GAUGAACGCUGGCGGCGUGCCUAAUACAUGCAAGUCGAGCGAACAGACGAGGAGCUUGCUCCUCUGACGUUAGCGGCGGACGGGUGAGUAACACGUGGAUAACCUACCUAUAAGACUGGGAUAACUUCGGGAAACCGGAGCUAAUACCGGAUAAUAUAUUGAACCGCAUGGUUCAAUAGUGAAAGACGGUUUUGCUGUCACUUAUAGAUGGAUCCGCGCCGCAUUAGCUAGUUGGUAAGGUAACGGCUUACCAAGGCGACGAUGCGUAGCCGACCGGAGAGGGUGAUCGGCCACACUGGAACUGAGACACGGUCCAGACUCCUACGGGAGGCAGCAGUAGGGAAUCUUCCGCAAUGGGCGAAAGCCUGACGGAGCAACGCCGCGUGAGUGAUGAAGGUCUUCGGAUCGUAAAACUCUGUUAUUAGGGAAGAACAAAUGUGUAAGUAACUAUGCACGUCUUGACGGUACCUAAUCAGAAAGCCACGGCUAACUACGUG